Molecule: transfer RNA, 83 nt
Filed under: Phycisphaerae bacterium
Lineage: Bacteria; Pseudomonadati; Planctomycetota; Phycisphaerae
Also listed under: 1 other name
Description: tRNA-Tyr
Rfam family: tRNA
About the family: Transfer RNA (tRNA) molecules are approximately 80 nucleotides in length. Their secondary structure includes four short double-helical elements and three loops (D, anti-codon, and T loops). Further hydrogen bonds mediate the characteristic L-shaped molecular structure. tRNAs have two regions of fundamental functional importance: the anti-codon, which is responsible for specific mRNA codon recognition, and the 3' end, to which the tRNAs corresponding amino acid is attached (by aminoacyl-tRNA synthetases). tRNAs cope with the degeneracy of the genetic code in two manners: having more than one tRNA (with a specific anti-codon) for a particular amino acid; and 'wobble' base-pairing, i.e. permitting non-standard base-pairing at the 3rd anti-codon position.
Source: RNAcentral
GGGAGUGUGCCGGAGUGGCCAAACGGGGCAGAUUGUAAAUCUGUUGGCUUAUGCCUACGGGGGUUCGAAUCCCUCCGCUCCCA